RNAcentral lists this ribosomal RNA (197 nucleotides) under uncultured bacterium. RNAcentral describes it as "partial 16S ribosomal RNA". It matches the Rfam family "Bacterial small subunit ribosomal RNA", at positions 328 to 539 of the family's 1533-position model. The record is from RNAcentral.
ACGCUCGACUCCUACGGAGGCAGCAGUGGGGAAUAUUGCACAAUGGGGGAAACCCUGAUGCAGCGACGCCGCGUGGAGGAAGAAGGUCUUCGGAUUGUAAACUCCUGUUGUUGGGGAAAAAGAGGAUGGUACCCAACAAGGAAGUGACGGCUAACUACGUGCCAGUAGCCGCGGUAAUCUGAGCGGGCUGGCAAGGC